RNAcentral lists this ribosomal RNA (253 nucleotides) under uncultured bacterium. RNAcentral's name for it is "partial 16S ribosomal RNA". It matches the Rfam family "Bacterial small subunit ribosomal RNA", at positions 524 to 776 of the family's 1533-position model. The record is from RNAcentral.
UACAGAGGUGGCAAGCGUUGUUCGGAAUUACUGGGCGUAAAGGGCGCGUAGGCGGUCUUGUAAGUCUCGUGUGAAAUCCCUCGGCUUAACUGAGGAACUGCACGGGAUACUGCAUGACUUGAGAUCGGGAGAGGGAAGCGGAAUUCCGGGUGUAGCGGUGAAAUGCGUAGAUAUCCGGAGGAACACCGGUGGCGAAGGCGGCUUCCUGGACCGAUACUGACGCUGAGGAGCGAAAGCCAGGGGAGCAAACGGG